UUGGAGAGGACCUCUCGCUGCCGCGCGUAAAAA
Molecule: small RNA, 33 nt
Filed under: Bombyx mori (domestic silkworm)
Lineage: Eukaryota; Metazoa; Arthropoda; Insecta; Lepidoptera; Bombycidae
Description: ovarian small RNA-37992
Source: RNAcentral